ACGGAGGGGGCGAGCGUUAUUCGGAAUUAUUGGGCGUAAAGGGCGCGUAGGCGGCCUGUUAAGUCGAACGUGAAAUCCCCGGGCUCAACCCGGGAACUGCGUCCGAUACUGGCAGGCUUGAAUCCGGGAGAGGGAUGCGGAAUUCUAGGUGUAGCGGUGAAAUGCGUAGAUAUCUGGAGGAACACCGGUGGCGAAGGCGGCAUCCUGGACCGGCAUUGACGCUGAGGCGCGAAAGCCAGGGGAGCAAACGGGA
Molecule: ribosomal RNA, 253 nt
Filed under: uncultured prokaryote
Description: partial 16S ribosomal RNA
Rfam family: Bacterial small subunit ribosomal RNA
Source: RNAcentral